This 492-nucleotide ribosomal RNA is filed under the name uncultured bacterium. Its description in RNAcentral is "partial 16S ribosomal RNA". It matches the Rfam family "Bacterial small subunit ribosomal RNA", at positions 29 to 507 of the family's 1533-position model. The record is from RNAcentral.
AGUGAACGCUGGCGGUAGGCCUAACACAUGCAAGUCGAACGGCAGCACAGUAAGAGCUUGCUCUUACGGGUGGCGAGUGGCGGACGGGUGAGGAAUACAUCGGAAUCUACUUUUUCGUGGGGGAUAACGUAGGGAAACUUACGCUAAUACCGCAUACGACCUACGGGUGAAAGCAGGGGAUCUUCGGACCUUGCGCGAUUGAAUGAGCCGAUGUCGGAUUAGCUAGUUGGCGGGGUAAAGGCCCACCAAGGCGACGAUCCGUAGCUGGUCUGAGAGGAUGAUCAGCCACACUGGAACUGAGACACGGUCCAGACUCCUACGGGAAGCAGCAGUGGGGAAUAUUGGACAAAGGGCGCAAGCCUGAUCCAGCCAUACCGCGUGGGUGAAGAAGGCCUUCGGGUUGUAAAGCCCUUUUGUUGGGAAAGAAAAGCAGCAGGUUAAUACCCCGCUGUUCUGACGGUACCCAAAGAAUAAGCACCGGCUAACUUCGUG